CUUUGAUGGUUAAAAAAUAAAAGAAGUCCAACCGGAAGUUGAGCCAACCACUGCGGAACAACAGAGCUGUCACAGUGGAGUCCGUGGGUCUUGUUUUGGGUUGUCGCCUCUGCUACAGAUUAAAACCAACGGUGUUUGGCAACAAUGUCCUACUAAGGAGCUUAGCUAAUGCUAAGUGACGCAAGAGGCUCAGUGGAAUAGAAGUGCUGGAAGCAUGAAUGAAAGUCCCAUAAUGGAGCUGAGUAGAGCUGGAAUCACGACUUUCUGGGAAAUAACAGCGUUAAUAUUGGUAAAGAAUUUGGAUUAUGUAAGGUUUUUCAACUGAGAGUUCAUUGGCCACUUGUUUCACCUGUGUAUGCACUGCAGUGUUGGCUAAUCCAUUUACACUGUGAGGAAGUUCACGCACUCGCUUACUACAUACACGAAGAAGAGGAUGCUUGCUGCAGGAAACAAUCCUUUCCAACAUAUAGUGGAGCCUCUUAGCCCCGAGGUACCAGGCCAGAGGUUUUUCAAUCUUCUUAAACUCGGAGAUCCCAGAUAUGACAGGCUCCCGUUCUCUGUCCGGGUGCUGUUGGAAUCAGCCAUCAGAAAUUGUGACGAGUUUCUAGUGAAGAGCUUAGAUGUGGAAAACAUCCUAAACUGGCAGCAAACCCAGACUCAAAGUGUGGAGGUACCAUUCAGGCCGGCCCGUGUCAUCCUCCAAGACUUCACGUAGGUUCUUUCACUUUUACUUUUACCACCAGUUAUAGCUCUAUUGGGGGGAAGAUUGCAUGUCUUCUUUGCAAGCAGAGCUGGAUGAGCAUUCAACCUUAUGCCUCAGUUUUAUCUUCUGAGUGAAUAAAUAAUGUAUGAAUAAAUAAUGUACUUCAUUCAGUUGAAAACACAAAUUUAAAUUAUCUUGUCAUAAUCACAAUCAUGCUAGACUCUUAAUUUAUUUGACGUCUCUUUUUCAGAGGGGGAAAAGAUUAAUAUAUAACUGCAGUGAUUUUUAACUAAUAUUGGGUUCACAAGUUUGAAUCUCUAGGUCUGACUUUUGGUUACUGCUGAUACCUUUGUUCUGACAUGAUGACUGCUGUUGAAAAAUAUUACAAACAUUUAAAAUUUUCAAUCAUUUUAAUGUGUCCAAUAACAAAUACUUAUCAUGUUGUGCAUAACAAGUACCCUUCUUCACCACAAAGCUCUACCUUAGCUAUUAUCUGUGUCCCAUCCAAACUCUUCUUUAGUUGUUGGACGGACUUUUGAACCUUUCUUCUGCUCUUAAACAUUCUGUUUUUUGUUGAAAGAAGAUGUAAACCAUUCCACCAUUAUAGAAUUGUAAACGUCUGUGCUGUAAUAAAAAAGAGUGCAGGGUUUCCCCUAGAAAACUUGUUAAGCAGUGCACCAGCGGCCCACUGUGUUUUUUUAUGAAAAAUUUUACGUUGACAGGAAAGGUAAAAUAUUACUGGGUAAUUAUGUUACUUGAACCCAAUAGAGUUCUUAAAAGCAAUAAAUACAAAAUCUAUAAUUAAAAUAAAUAUCAAUUAUUUUCACUUCUUUUAAAUCCAAAUUAAGUCAGGAGUUAGUGCAUCUAAAAACACUAUGUAAUGCUGAUCACAUUUACAACUGGCCCAAGCCAUAAAUGAACUAAGCAACUGCUUAAGGCUCCGGACCCCCUCGCCCCCUCCCCGGGCUUGAGGAGCCCCUUAACCUUAAAUGCUGUCAUUUUAGCACAUACCACAGAUAUAGAAAUGUAAUAUUUGUUUACUGAGAUUACCAAUGCUGUUAAAUUUUAUUUAGUGGUUUCAGAAAAUGAUUAUUUUAGAUUAUUUUAGUUUAUUAGUAAUAUCUGAAAUUGUGGAGUACGCACAAUUUAGAUCAACAUUAUAAUUCCUAGAUAACUUUUAUGCAGAGACUCGUACUGCUACAGCCCAGAAAAGGAAUUAGAAUUAGAAUUA
Long non-coding RNA from Poecilia latipinna (sailfin molly), 1934 nucleotides. RefSeq lists it as uncharacterized. NCBI's taxonomy places the organism in Eukaryota, Metazoa, Chordata, Actinopteri, Cyprinodontiformes, Poeciliidae. The record is from RefSeq and is a predicted model, not a curated record. The transcript has 5 exons.